ACACUAGGACGUGUGGCUGCC
This 21-nucleotide microRNA is filed under the name Eptesicus fuscus (big brown bat). RNAcentral describes it as "efu-miR-9215b". The record is from miRBase by way of RNAcentral. Lineage: Eukaryota; Metazoa; Chordata; Mammalia; Chiroptera; Vespertilionidae.